CGUCAUGCGGGCAGCCUGGCUGAGCUGGCGGCCGAUCUCGCCGGCCGAGGCGGUCAGUUCGUCGCUGGCGGUGGCGAC
RNAcentral lists this transfer RNA (78 nucleotides) under Skermanella aerolata. RNAcentral's name for it is "tRNA-Glu". Lineage: Bacteria; Pseudomonadati; Pseudomonadota; Alphaproteobacteria; Rhodospirillales; Azospirillaceae. The record is from RNAcentral.